UACGGAGGGUGCAAACGUUGCUCGGAAUUAUUGGGCGUAAAGCGCGCGCAGGCGGUCCUUUAAGUCUGAUGUGAAAGCCCACGGCUCAACUGUGGAGGGUCAUUGGAAACUGGGGGACUUGAGUACAGAAGAGAAGAGUGGAAUUCCACGUGUAGCGGUGAAAUGCGUAGAGAUGUGGAGGAACACCAGUGGCGAAGGCGACUCUUUGGUCUGUAACUGACGCUGAGGCGCGAAAGCGUGGGGAGCAAACAGG
RNAcentral lists this ribosomal RNA (253 nucleotides) under uncultured bacterium. Its description in RNAcentral is "partial 16S ribosomal RNA". It matches the Rfam family "Bacterial small subunit ribosomal RNA", at positions 524 to 776 of the family's 1533-position model. The record is from RNAcentral.